UACGUAGGUGGCAAGCGUUGUCCGGAUUUAUUGGGUUUAAAGGGUGCGUAGGUGGCUUUGUAAGUCAGUGGUGAAAUAUGGCAGCUCAACUGUCAGGGUGCCAUUGAUACUGCAGAGGAUCGCGGAAUUCCCGGUGUAGAGGUGAAAUUCGUAGAUAUCGGGAGGAACACCAGUGGCGAAGGCGGCGAUCUGGGCAGAUACUGACGCUGAGGUGCGAAAGCGUGGGGAGCAAACAGG
This 237-nucleotide ribosomal RNA is filed under the name uncultured bacterium. Its description in RNAcentral is "partial 16S ribosomal RNA". It matches the Rfam family "Bacterial small subunit ribosomal RNA", at positions 524 to 776 of the family's 1533-position model. The record is from RNAcentral.